This 449-nucleotide ribosomal RNA is filed under the name uncultured Leucobacter sp. Its description in RNAcentral is "bacterial SSU rRNA". It matches the Rfam family "Bacterial small subunit ribosomal RNA", at positions 336 to 797 of the family's 1533-position model. Lineage: Bacteria; Bacillati; Actinomycetota; Actinomycetes; Micrococcales; Microbacteriaceae. The record is from RNAcentral.
CGCCUACGGGAGGCUGCAGUGGGGAAUAUUGCACAAUGGGCGCAAGCCUGAUGCAGCAACGCCGCGUGAGGGAUGACGGCCUUCGGGUUGUAAACCUCUUUUGUCAGGGAAGAAGCGAAAGUGACGGUACCUGGAGAAAAAGCACCGGCUAACUACGUGCCAGCAGCCGCGGUAAUACGUAGGGUGCAAGUGUUGUCCGGAAUUAUUGGGCGUAAAGAGCUCGUAGGCGGCUUGUCGCGUCUGCUGUGAAAACCCGAGGGUCACCCUCGGGCCUGCAGUGGGUACGGGCAGGCUAGAGUGCGGUAGGGGAGAUUGGAAUUCCUGGUGUAGCGGUGGAAUGCGCAGAUAUCAGGAGGAACACCGAUGGCGAAGGCAGAUCUCUGGGCCGCUACUGACGCUGCGGAGCGAAAGCAUGGGGAGCGAACAGGAUUAGAUACCCCUGUAGUCGC